RNAcentral lists this unclassified non-coding RNA (21 nucleotides) under Mus musculus (house mouse). RNAcentral describes it as "oocyte_clustered_small_RNA4092". The record is from RNAcentral. Lineage: Eukaryota; Metazoa; Chordata; Mammalia; Rodentia; Muridae.
AUAAAACCAUCCUUUGGGCUC